This is a non-coding RNA of Aspergillus flavus AF70, 99 nucleotides long. NCBI's taxonomy places the organism in Eukaryota, Fungi, Ascomycota, Eurotiomycetes, Eurotiales, Aspergillaceae. The record is from Rfam.
AGAACAGGGCUUCCCGUCCGCUCAGCCGUACUUAAGCCACACGCCGGGAGGUUAGUAGUUGGGUGGGUGACCACCAGCGAAUCCCUCCUGUUGUAUGUU